UAUAUCGCAUUUCUAUAUUACCCCUCGUAUUUCCUCCAUGCCCGGCACUCUCGUCAGGACCUCUACAGGCUACGUCACAGAGCUGCAGCUGCUGGUAUAAAAAGCUCCGUCUGAUGCCAGCAGCCACAUUAGAGAGAAGCUGCGUCUGUGGGCAUCCUCCUCCACCUGGCCAAAAAUAAUAAAUAAUAAUAAUUACUGCAAAAACUAAAACAACAUGUCCAAAAUGACGAUCGUUUCGCUCGGAGUGCUUGUGUUCCUCAUAUGUUUAACAGCGUUGGCCUCCUCGAAUGUAACCGCAGCAGCCGCAUCAGAGAACGCAACCUCCAACGCCAACACCACCACCAUGGCCACAGGCACCUUCAGCAGUUCGGCCAACUCAACCACCUCCACCGGGGCAGGCGUCUCGCUGCACCCAGGCACCUUGUCUUUCCUGGUCCCUGUCAUCAUGGCAGCCUCUCUCCUGCAGCGCUACUGUUGAAGCCCCGGACCUCCACGUGGCCCCCCUUCUUCUCUGCCUCCUCCUUCUCCUUCUCCUUCUCCUCCUCAUCCUCCUUCAAUUACCCCACCCAGUCCAGCCUCGCUCCUCUCCACCUUCACUGCACAGAGACCACGAGACUAACAUGGAUGGCCUCUGCAACCUUCUUUUUUUGUCCUCCUUAAGUAAUGAUUAAAAAAAAAAAAAGAUAUGUAAUUCAAGACAUUUCUUUCAAUAAAAGGGGGGUUUAAAUCUUCAAGCUGGAGACCCCCAUCAGCCCCUCCACGCAUGGAAUCAAAAGGAACGGGCUGUUCACCCAGCUUCCCUUUUGGCUUGCGUUUCCAUAGUCACGCCAUCACAUUUUGGAGAUGCUCAGGGCUGCGGUUGUCAUGUCACAUGUCUUGAUUGAAAUGCGGACCACUUGAGUAUGUACAGAGGUUCUUUCUGUGGCUUCACAUCCACCUGGCAAUCAAUAUCUGAAUGUUUUUUGUCUGUUAAGUGAAGUUUGGCACAUACAAUAGGGGAUUUAAAACACAAACAAAGAAGCCAGAUGACAUUCUUAGUUGUUUUUUUUUUUCUUUUUUUCCUUCAAAAUUUGGCUCUCCGGUCUUUUUUUAUUAGCAAUGUCAAAGAGAUGUAUGUAGCAAAUAAGUUGCCGCAGGACUUGUGUCAGUUUUGCCUUGUGAUUUUUAAAGAGUUGUGGUCUUUUACAAUGAGGGUUUGAUUGACACCUUUCCCCCCCCCCACCCACCUUCUAUGGGUUAGACCCAGGAGAUGACUGUAUGUGUAACCAUAUGGGAAGGGUUGAUGUUAGAUUUAUAUUCCCCCCCCUAUAGUUUAUAUUUUGUAUAAAUGGAAAUGUACUGUUUAUUAGUUUGGGUAUAAGAUAAUGGAAGAAAUCUACAAUAAAUAAUGAAAAAUGA
This is a long non-coding RNA of Acanthopagrus latus (yellowfin seabream), 1398 nucleotides long. RefSeq lists it as uncharacterized. Lineage: Eukaryota; Metazoa; Chordata; Actinopteri; Spariformes; Sparidae. The record is from RefSeq and is a predicted model, not a curated record. The transcript is spliced from 2 exons.